UGGUAGAGAUUUGGGCUUUUUAAGACUUUGAGCGUGCCCUGUUUUGAGGUACUGGCCCAAUGUAACGAUAUCCACCCCCACACCUGUAGUUCUCCCCAUAAACUUCAUUUCACCUGUACAGAGUCUAGUGAAUCUUGAUUCCCACACCCAUACCCCAAGGUUGAUGUCAGUGCUCCCUUUGCUUCAAAUUAAAAUAACUCAGAGUCCAUUAAAAAGAACUAUUCUGAGCUGGUCAUCGGGAACAAAAUACCUAUAAUUGACAAAAUCCUUAGUGCUUGAUUGCUAAGGACAAUGCCAAUGAAAUUCUGUGGCUAUAUGAAAGCAUUGUAUGAAUUCAUAUUUUAUUUAGCGCAAGACAUGACUAAUUCGAUUUUUAUUCAAGUUCUUAUCUUUCACAGUUACAUCAAACACCUUGAAUCUAGAACAUUCUUUUCUGACAGUGGUACAUAAUUAAAAUUUGCAUCAGGUUUUAAUGAGAAGCAUUUCAACUUUAUAAAAGAUUCCUUGAAGAAUAUAUCACUCAGAACCCUGACUUCCUCCCUCAUUCUUCGUCAUCUUGUGCCAAGAGAUCUGCAGAACAUCCUGUCUCUGUUGAAUGAGAUCAUGCACAUCUACUGCCAAACUUUGGAAAGGCCAGUAGCUGUGUAGCCUCCAUCUGUCAACAGCAAGGAAAAAGAAUUAAGGAUCACAAAUCAUUCAUACAACUUUGCAAAUCUUUCUUUGCAGAUGAACUCUAGGAUCAGCACCUCAGACAGAAUACUGCUGAGUUAUGAAACAUAGGAUACGUAUGGGGAAGAAGAUUGACAGGUGCUCUGUCCCGGAGCUGUGACCUCAGCCCUUUGUUGGUCAUUUUUGUAGAUAAUGGCAAGUGAGCCUGUGACUUUCCCUGGGGAGAGAGACAUGAACAAACAUCCAUUCACCUUGGACAGAGAAUGUAACAGACCAAAGAGAAGAUCCCAUCCAAGCCUUGCCCAGUGAACCGGUGAGCCUGUGGGGGCUGGUUCCAGCAACACAAGACUGCCGCAGCUCUACCCAGGGGAAGCCAUCCCAUCUUGGUGUUGGUUCACCAAAGCUGAUCUCCAGAGCUUUCUGCCCAACUUGCAAGCAGCUGGGUUGAAGUGUCUCUCAGAAGCUGUUUCCUUCUUGCACAAUCUUGAGUGUUGGGGUCCUUGAAUCCUGUAAUUUUUUUUAAUCUUCUGCCUCCCUCCAAGAGAGUGUUUCUGUUCAGAAGAGCUGCACCAAAGGCACAGAAACACUGAAAGCACGACCUAGGUCAGCCCAGUCAGCAAACCUAAAGGGCAGAGUGCAGGAUGUAGACCCAGGCAGAUUUCCUAAGACUCUGGACACCACUCUGCUUAGUGCCGUAAGUAAACCCACAUUGGAAAACAUAGGUGUCAUCAAACACAUGCAUGGAACUUUUUCUGAAUCAGGUUUCCAGCACUGUCAACUAACUGUUUAGAGAAGUGCACAGCUCUAGAUGGAGAAUUAGCAAACUCUGCCAUCUAAAGUAGGUUUUUAAAUUGUCUUGUUGAAAAUAGUGAUGCUUUAUUGGAACCAAAGAUUCUGUCCCUUUAGAUGCUGGAAAGAUGGCUCAGCAGUUAAAGGCAUGCGGAUGCAAUUGUGAAGUGGAAGUUUGGGUGCUGGCACCCAUGUGACAGCCAGAUGUGGAUGUCCCAUCUGCACAUGCCUAGAACUCUAGCUCCAAGGCUAGAUUGCUAGGACUAGCUGUCUUCUAGCCUAUCUGAGAAAGCUUGAGCCCAGGAUUUGGGAGAGUCCCUGUCACAAAGGAACAUGUAGAGAGUAAGGACACCCAAAUCUCUCUAGUGUGCACACACACUCACACAGAUACAUACAUAAAAAUCAAAUAAAUAAACAAACCUUUAAAAUACAUUCUGUGCCUGGAGAAAGACUCAGUUGGUUUUUGGUUUGGGUUUUGGUUUGUUGGAGCCUGGGUUUCAUGAGUCCAAUUUCCUAUGCAGGCAGAGGUUGACUUUGAACUCCUAGUCCUCCUACCUCUACCUCCCAAGAGCUAGGAUCAUAGGAGAGUACCAUCAUACCUGGAAGAUUCACUUUUAUCCAAAGGAAAAUCAUCAGUUUAUUUCAGGUUCUCCAAGUUUUCCUUGGUAACAGCUCACUCACAUACUUACUCUGGGUUUCACCUUCAUUUGUUCAGGCAAAACAAUUCCAGAGGCAGAAGAGGCCGUCAAGCUGGAAGAAGCGAUCCAAACAGAAGGGCAGCUGAUCUUAGGCUCUUAUUCUGCCACGUCCUCUUAGUCUUUUCUAGAAAAGCAAGAGCUUCUGUCUCCUCUUUGAGAUAGACCAGCUCAGCUAAGCUAAAAUCAAGUCCCUAUGCAUCAAAUCUGCACGAUAAAAUGGAAAGUGGUUUUCAAGAGGAUCCAACCUAUUCUCUAACAGACCUAAGAACCAUUCCUGAAGCAUGAACACAUAAUGAGUGGCAGCCUCUGGUCAGGUCCCCACAACUGAGCCAAGGAACUGAAGACACCAUUUCCAGCUUUCCUUUCUAGAGUUUCAAGGCCUGCAAAAGUGAAUUGUUUAGUCUAUGGCGUACUGCCUGUUACUAAGUGAUUCUGGCUGUGUCAAUAAAUCUGUUCACAGCUCUAAUUGUGUUAAUAAAUUGAACUUAAUUAAGCUUACAACAUGUCAUGAGUUUCUUCUGGCAUAAUACAGUAGAUUAAAGAAGAAGGAGAAGGAGGAGGAGGAGGAGGAGAAGAAGAAGACGAAGACGAAGAAGAAGAAGGAGAAGGAGAAGGAGAAGGAGAAGAGAAGAGAAGAGAAGAGAAGAGAAGAGAAGAGAAGAGAAGAGAAGAGAAGAGAAAACUUGGAGAAAAAUGUACCACAAUACGAUCUCUGGAGAAAUGAAACUUUCUGGGAUUGGCUUUGUGAAGACUAUUCCUUUGUGACUAAAACUGGACUCUGUUAGCAAUAACUACAGUCUCCUCUGGUUAAGUUUGCUACGUCAUAAGUUCCCUUAGGGUAGAAAUAUGUGCGAUGGUAGUUAGUUUUGAUGGUCAACUUGAUGAGAUUUUGAGUAACAAUGUAAACAGAUCUCUGAGCAGGUCUGUGAGGGCAUUUCUAAAUUGAUGUAAUUAGGAUAGAAAGACUCACCCUGAAUGUGAGUGACUCCAUGGGCCAGGGUCCCAACCUGAAUGAAAAGGAGAAAGCAAGCUGAGCAAAAGCAUUUAUGUGCUCUGCCUCCUAACUGUGGGUGGGAUGUGGCGAGCUGCCUCAAACUCCUGCUGACAGAACUUACUCACCGCAAUGGGCUGAGCCCAAAUAAACCCUUUCUCCUUUAA
This is a long non-coding RNA of Mesocricetus auratus (golden hamster), 3314 nucleotides long. RefSeq lists it as uncharacterized. The transcript has 3 exons. Lineage: Eukaryota; Metazoa; Chordata; Mammalia; Rodentia; Cricetidae. The record is from RefSeq and is a predicted model, not a curated record.